GAGGGUGUAGCGCAAGUGAUAGAGUGCAUGCUUAGCAUGCAUGAGGUCCUGGGUUCCAUCCCCAGUACCUCCU
This 73-nucleotide transfer RNA is filed under the name Camelus ferus (Wild Bactrian camel). It matches the Rfam family "tRNA". From Rfam's summary of the family: Transfer RNA (tRNA) molecules are approximately 80 nucleotides in length. Their secondary structure includes four short double-helical elements and three loops (D, anti-codon, and T loops). Lineage: Eukaryota; Metazoa; Chordata; Mammalia; Artiodactyla; Camelidae. The record is from Rfam by way of RNAcentral.